GUUGUGGCUCAGCGGUAGAGCACUCGCCUAGCAUAUGCGAAGCCCUGGGUUCGAUUCUCAGCAUGACA
This 68-nucleotide transfer RNA is filed under the name Marmota monax (woodchuck). RNAcentral describes it as "tRNA.Ala". Lineage: Eukaryota; Metazoa; Chordata; Mammalia; Rodentia; Sciuridae. The record is from RNAcentral.